GAUGAGCGCUGGCGGCGUGCCUAAUACAUGCAAGUCGAGCGAACAGACGAGGAGCUUGCUCCUCUGACGUUAGCGGCGGACGGGUGAGUAACACGUGGAUAACCUACCUAUAAGACUUGGAUAACUUCGGGAAACCGGAGCUAAUACCGGAUAAUAUAUUGAACCGCAUGGUUCAAUAGUGAAAGACGGUUUUGCUGUCACUUAUAGAUUGAUCCGCGCCGCAUUAGCUAGUUGGUAAGGUAACGGCUUACCAAGGCAACGAUGCGUAGCCGACCUGAGAGGGUGAUCGGCCACACUGGAACUGAGACACGGUCCAGACUCCUACGGGAGGCAGCAGUAGGGAAUCUUCCGCAAAGGGCGAAAGCCUGACGGAGCGACGCCGCGUGAGUGAUGAAGGUCUUCGGAUCGUAAAACUCUGUUAUUAGGGAAGAACAAAUGUGUAAGUAACUAUGCACGUCUUGACGGUACCUAAUCAGAAAGCCACGGCUAACUACGUG
RNAcentral lists this ribosomal RNA (497 nucleotides) under uncultured bacterium. Its description in RNAcentral is "partial 16S ribosomal RNA". It matches the Rfam family "Bacterial small subunit ribosomal RNA", at positions 28 to 507 of the family's 1533-position model. The record is from RNAcentral.